Molecule: non-coding RNA, 781 nt
Organism: Bactrocera oleae (olive fruit fly)
Lineage: Eukaryota; Metazoa; Arthropoda; Insecta; Diptera; Tephritidae
Source: RefSeq, a predicted model, not a curated record
UUAGUGCUGAUGACUGUCGGUUUGUUGUUGUGUUUUCUCACACUGCACUCCUGCCACACUGCAUCCGAGCUACUCAUGCGCCAUUAUGACGAGACUGGCGUUAACAUUUAAUUAAAAAUUGUGAUAUUUUUUACUUUUACUGCAUCGCUGAGUGUUGAACCAUUUCGUUAUUACUUUAUUCUUAUUUGCUUCGUCUUUAUUUUUCUGCGAAAGGACUAAAUAGGCGGUAAAAGCUAUGCGGUAUUUGUUGGUUUCGGUUGCGCGUACAAAAGACUUAAGCAACGAACUUCCUCUCAUGCUUUACUUGGUUGCUGGCUGCGUAUAUGGCAGUGCGUGUGUGUGUGUUGGUGACGGCGACAACUACGCGGACUACAGAGGCGCCAACAAAACGACAGUAAACUGCAAAGGAGGCGUAGUUAUGGCAACUUAAAUUUUGAAAUAUGAACUUUAAUAAAGGGGAAUUUAGUCUGAUGAUUGCAUUGAGAUGUUAGCCUUGCUUUAAACAAAAUGUACAGUUUUUCAGUUUUGAUAUUUUGUGUAGCACAAGUUUUUUUAGAAUGUAUUAAACAUUUUUGUGAAACCAUAUUUAAUAUGUUUGGCUUAACCAGUAUCUUUAAGAUCAUUUUUAAGGUCUGCAAUAGUGACAAUCUUGGCGUGCAAUUUCUUCCAACUGCUCAUUUCUAGAGCUUAUAAUAUUGCAAUUCAACAAAGCAAAGUCCAAGUCAUGACGUUAAGAACAUUUUUAAUAUAGAAUUCCAGUGGAAAAAGAGUUAAGUAAUCU